This is a transfer RNA of Zancudomyces culisetae, 81 nucleotides long. It matches the Rfam family "tRNA". From Rfam's summary of the family: Transfer RNA (tRNA) molecules are approximately 80 nucleotides in length. Their secondary structure includes four short double-helical elements and three loops (D, anti-codon, and T loops). Further hydrogen bonds mediate the characteristic L-shaped molecular structure. tRNAs have two regions of fundamental functional importance: the anti-codon, which is responsible for specific mRNA codon recognition, and the 3' end, to which the tRNAs corresponding amino acid is attached (by aminoacyl-tRNA synthetases). tRNAs cope with the degeneracy of the genetic code in two manners: having more than one tRNA (with a specific anti-codon) for a particular amino acid; and 'wobble' base-pairing, i.e. permitting non-standard base-pairing at the 3rd anti-codon position. NCBI's taxonomy places the organism in Eukaryota, Fungi, Kickxellomycota, Harpellomycetes, Harpellales, Legeriomycetaceae. The record is from Rfam.
GGGGUGUUGGCGCAAUUGGUAGCGCGUCCGUCUCCAAUUCGGGAUAGCGGAAGGUUAAGUGUUCGAGUCACUUACGUCCCA